UGGGGAAUAUUGGACAAUGGGCGAAAGCCUGAUCCAGCCAUGCCGCGUGUGUGAAGAAGGUCUUCGGAUUGUAAAGCACUUUAAGUUGGGAGGAAGGGCAGUAAGCGAAUACCUUGCUGUUUUGACGUUACCGACAGAAUAAGCACCGGCUAACUCUGUGCCAGCAGCCGCGGUAAUACAGAGGGUGCAAGCGUUAAUCGGAAUUACUGGGCGUAAAGCGCGCGUAGGUGGUUCGUUAAGUUGAAUGUGAAAGCCCCGGGCUCAACCUGGGAACUGCAUCCAAAACUGGCGAGCUAGAGUAGAGCAGAGGGUGGUGGAAUUUCCUGUGUAGCGGUGAAAUGCGUAGAUAUCGGAAGGAACACCAGUGGCGAAGGCGACCACCUGGGCUCAUACUGACACUGAGGUGCGAAAGCGUGGGGAGCAAACAGG
Molecule: ribosomal RNA, 429 nt
Filed under: Pseudomonadota bacterium
Lineage: Bacteria; Pseudomonadati; Pseudomonadota
Description: Proteobacteria bacterium partial 16S ribosomal RNA
Rfam family: Bacterial small subunit ribosomal RNA
Source: RNAcentral